RNAcentral lists this long non-coding RNA (1085 nucleotides) under Homo sapiens (human). The record is from RNAcentral. Lineage: Eukaryota; Metazoa; Chordata; Mammalia; Primates; Hominidae.
ACAGAGUCUCGCUGUGUCGCCCAGGCUGGAGAGCAGUGGCGUGAUCUUGACUCACUGGAACCUCCACCUCCUGGACUCAAGCAAUUCUCCUGCCUCAGCCUCCUGAGUAGCUGGGAUUACAGGUGCCCACCACCACGCCCUGCUAAUUUUUGCAUUUUUAGUAGAGACGGGAUUUCACCAUGUUGGCCAGGCUGGUCUCAAACUCCUGACCUCAGGUGAUCCACCCUCCCUCGGCCUCCCAAAGUGCUGGGAUUACAGGUGUGAGCCACCAUGCCAGGCCGCAAUUAAGUAAUUUUUUAGUAAAUUUACAGAGCUGUGCAAUCAUCAACACAAUCCAGUUUUAGAACAUUUUCAUCACCUUAAGAGAUUCCUCCUGCCCAUUAGCAAUCACUUUCUGUUCCCACUCUCAGCUCCAGGCAACCACUAAUCAACUUUCUGUCUCUAUAGAUUUACCUAUUCUAGAUAUUUCAUAUAAAUAGAAUCGUACAGUAAGUAGUCUUUUGCAAGUUGGCUUUUUUCACCCAGCAUAAUUUUUUGAGGUUCAUCCAUGUCAUAGCAUGUAUCAAUUAUUUGUUCGUUUUCAUUGCUAAAUAGAAUUCUGUUGCAUACAUCCACCACAUUUUGUUUAUCUAUUUACCACUUGCUGGAUAUUUGGAUUGGUUCCAUUUUUGCUUAUUAUGAGUGCUACUAUAAAUAUUCAUGUACAAGUCUUUGUGUGGCCAUAUAUGUUCAUUUCUCUUGAAUAGAUAUCUAGGAGUGGAAUUGGUGGAUCAUAUGGUAACUCCAUGUUUAACAUUUUAUGAAACUGCCAAAUUGUUUUCUAAAGUGGCUAUUCCAUUUUACAUUCCCACCAGCAAUGUGGGUUUCAGCAAUCAGGGUUCCAGUUUCUCCAUAUUCUUGCCAAUACUUGUUAUUAAUUAAUAAUAUGGAGUCUUCGAAUCCAUGAACAUGGACUAUCUCCCCAUUUAUUUACAACUUCUUAUAUUCCCUUUAGCAAUGUUUUAUAGAUUUCAGUGUACAAAUCUCAUACCUCUUUUGUUAAUUUUAUUCCUAUGUAUUUUACCCUUUUUGAUGCUAUUGUGAAU